GUUAAAUAUAUUUUUAAUUCAAUAUAUUUUCUUACGAAACGAUUAAAAAAAUUAAAAUAUAUUUUAGAUUAUUUAUAUUUUAUAAAUUUAAAAAAUAUAUUUAAUUACUAAAAAUAUCAAAAUACAUACCCUUCACCGGCAUAAAUAAUUAAGCAUGUACAAAAUGAGCGUGCACAAUAUAAUCACAAAUAACAUGCUAUAAAUUUCUUCUAGUCGGAAAAAAGAGAGAAAAUGGCACGUAUUUGGAUUCUCUACAAUCGAGUUUCCUAAGUUCACCUAUAUUUAGGCAAGCGUUAAUUAAAAAGGAGAAAUUAUUGCAUGUUUUAUUGCAUUUAUGUAUCCUGUAGGAAAUUUGAAUAAAUAGUAUAUCUAUUUUAAUAACAUUGAUUAGGAAAUUUUUUUGGUUAUUUGGUUUGACAUUUUUUUAGUUUGUUGCAGGUGCAUGCUAGCUAGUGUUGAGCCCUGGGAGUGUCACUGUUCAUCUGGCCAUGUAGAUUUAUUUAUUAUACGUAUGAGACUAAAAUACUUAGGUUAUCUUUGUGUCUAUUAUGACCAAAGAGAUGAACCAUUUGAUUUUGUAAUUUGUGUGAUUAUGUUGUUUCCCGUUGGCUUUAGUUUGACGUAAUUAAGAACAUAUCUCUGUUAUUUGUCAUUUAUGUUGAAGUUUAAUUUGGCACGCAUUAAUUAUGCAUUAUUUUGGAUAAUAUUUUGG
This 712-nucleotide long non-coding RNA is filed under the name Trifolium pratense (red clover). Its description in RNAcentral is "long non-coding RNA (TPRA_LNC004238)". The record is from RNAcentral. Lineage: Eukaryota; Viridiplantae; Streptophyta; Magnoliopsida; Fabales; Fabaceae.